CGGGCAGGUGAAGCACAUCAAGGUGGCGGCCAGCGAGGGGCUCUACUGGGUCACCGAGAAAAAAGCGUUCAAGGGGCUGGUGGAGCUGGUGGAGUUCUACGAGCGGAAUUCGCUGCGGGAUUGUUUCAAGGCUCUGGACACGACCCUGGCCGUGCCCUACAGGGACCCCGAAACCCGAGCGGGACCCCGAGACCCCGGUGCCACCCGCAGUUUCGGCUC
Non-coding RNA from Sturnus vulgaris (Common starling), 219 nucleotides. The record is from RefSeq and is a predicted model, not a curated record. Lineage: Eukaryota; Metazoa; Chordata; Aves; Passeriformes; Sturnidae.